CAGGCCAGGGCUGCUCUAUGAUCAGAGACAUGCCAGCUCUGGUUUUUAGGUUCUCUCUAUCCUACCAACACAGAAGCAUCCUAACACUCUGAAUUUGUCAUUAAUAAGGUAUCCUAAUUAUUCUACGGUGGUCUAGUUUCCAUACACCCUUAACCAGUGUCUCACUUUCACUCACAGACCUAAGUUCUAACAACCCAUGUUUCCCAUCAAUUAUCAAUGUCAUAUAAUUUCCAGUAAAUAAAACCACUUAACCAUAUCAGAUAUCAACCUAACACAAAUUAGUUCCAAUUACACGUAAUACCUCAUUCAACAGAUUCAACUUGACAUUCAAAGCACAUCAAACAUUCACCCA
This 352-nucleotide long non-coding RNA is filed under the name Vigna radiata. RNAcentral describes it as "long non-coding RNA (VRAD_LNC001586)". Lineage: Eukaryota; Viridiplantae; Streptophyta; Magnoliopsida; Fabales; Fabaceae. The record is from RNAcentral.